This 1462-nucleotide ribosomal RNA is filed under the name Lacticaseibacillus casei. RNAcentral describes it as "bacterial SSU rRNA". It matches the Rfam family "Bacterial small subunit ribosomal RNA". The record is from RNAcentral. Lineage: Bacteria; Bacillati; Bacillota; Bacilli; Lactobacillales; Lactobacillaceae.
GGCGGCGUGCCUAAUACAUGCAAGUCGAACGAGUUCUCGUUGAUGAUCGGUGCUUGCACCGAGAUUCAACAUGGAACGAGUGGCGGACGGGUGAGUAACACGUGGGUAACCUGCCCUUAAGUGGGGGAUAACAUUUGGAAACAGAUGCUAAUACCGCAUAGAUCCAAGAACCGCAUGGUUCUUGGCUGAAAGAUGGCGUAAGCUAUCGCUUUUGGAUGGACCCGCGGCGUAUUAGCUAGUUGGUGAGGUAAUGGCUCACCAAGGCGAUGAUACGUAGCCGAACUGAGAGGUUGAUCGGCCACAUUGGGACUGAGACACGGCCCAAACUCCUACGGGAGGCAGCAGUAGGGAAUCUUCCACAAUGGACGCAAGUCUGAUGGAGCAACGCCGCGUGAGUGAAGAAGGCUUUCGGGUCGUAAAACUCUGUUGUUGGAGAAGAAUGGUCGGCAGAGUAACUGUUGUCGGCGUGACGGUAUCCAACCAGAAAGCCACGGCUAACUACGUGCCAGCAGCCGCGGUAAUACGUAGGUGGCAAGCGUUAUCCGGAUUUAUUGGGCGUAAAGCGAGCGCAGGCGGUUUUUUAAGUCUGAUGUGAAAGCCCUCGGCUUAACCGAGGAAGCGCAUCGGAAACUGGGAAACUUGAGUGCAGAAGAGGACAGUGGAACUCCAUGUGUAGCGGUGAAAUGCGUAGAUAUAUGGAAGAACACCAGUGGCGAAGGCGGCUGUCUGGUCUGUAACUGACGCUGAGGCUCGAAAGCAUGGGUAGCGAACAGGAUUAGAUACCCUGGUAGUCCAUGCCGUAAACGAUGAAUGCUAGGUGUUGGAGGGUUUCCGCCCUUCAGUGCCGCAGCUAACGCAUUAAGCAUUCCGCCUGGGGAGUACGACCGCAAGGUUGAAACUCAAAGGAAUUGACGGGGGCCCGCACAAGCGGUGGAGCAUGUGGUUUAAUUCGAAGCAACGCGAAGAACCUUACCAGGUCUUGACAUCUUUUGAUCACCUGAGAGAUCAGGUUUCCCCUUCGGGGGCAAAAUGACAGGUGGUGCAUGGUUGUCGUCAGCUCGUGUCGUGAGAUGUUGGGUUAAGUCCCGCAACGAGCGCAACCCUUAUGACUAGUUGCCAGCAUUUAGUUGGGCACUCUAGUAAGACUGCCGGUGACAAACCGGAGGAAGGUGGGGAUGACGUCAAAUCAUCAUGCCCCUUAUGACCUGGGCUACACACGUGCUACAAUGGAUGGUACAACGAGUUGCGAGACCGCGAGGUCAAGCUAAUCUCUUAAAGCCAUUCUCAGUUCGGACUGUAGGCUGCAACUCGCCUACACGAAGUCGGAAUCGCUAGUAAUCGCGGAUCAGCACGCCGCGGUGAAUACGUUCCCGGGCCUUGUACACACCGCCCGUCACACCAUGAGAGUUUGUAACACCCGAAGCCGGUGGCGUAACCCUUUUAGGGAGCGAGCCGUCUAAGG